GUCUUCGUAGUGUAAUGGUAGCACACUCGGCGCGUAUUCGAGAGGUCCAGGUUCGAGUCCCCGGCGAGGGCA
Molecule: transfer RNA, 72 nt
Filed under: Stegodyphus mimosarum
Lineage: Eukaryota; Metazoa; Arthropoda; Arachnida; Araneae; Eresidae
Rfam family: tRNA
About the family: Transfer RNA (tRNA) molecules are approximately 80 nucleotides in length. Their secondary structure includes four short double-helical elements and three loops (D, anti-codon, and T loops).
Source: Rfam by way of RNAcentral